Long non-coding RNA from Vespa mandarinia (Asian giant hornet), 2166 nucleotides. The record is from RefSeq and is a predicted model, not a curated record. Lineage: Eukaryota; Metazoa; Arthropoda; Insecta; Hymenoptera; Vespidae.
UAUAUACAGAAAAACGCACGUACCUCUGGUUUUUAAUAUUAAAGAGAGGUUUCGUAGAUCUUUGCACAAUUGUUUCAACAUGGUCGUAUAUUGGACUUACGUUUCGAAAUACAUUAUUUAUUAGAGUUUUCUUUCAAAACUUGAUACCAACGGAGAAUUGACACCAGAGUCCAGUUCCAGGCGAUAUUCGUUUGGAAUGAAUAAAAAAGCUAUUAUCUGUAAGAUUAUAAUAAUCGUUGGUGCCUUUUCUAUCGAUAAUCCCAUCGAUGAUCUUACAAGAGCGGUGCCAUUACUACACAAUCGGUCAUUCGAUGAGUCCUAUAUGUAUUAUUUAUAUGUACCAUACGUACGUAAAUCGCGACGAAGAAAAAUUAGACGCACGGGGACUUUGCUCUUUCAGCCGAUCCAUGGGUCUUACGUGUUUCUCUCUUUGUUGUUGUAUACAACUUUGGGGGUGUUCGACAAUAACCAUUUAUAUACGUACUAGGACGCAUUAAUAACUUAAAAGGACCGUUGUAAAUAAAAGAGAAAUGCAAAUAAUGCGAGACAAAAAGAUGAUUAGUCGAUGCUAUGAUGUUGACAAUAAUUGUAAAUGUCGUUAUAUAAUAACUUCAUCGCUGUGAUUCUUAUACAGUAUUAAUGCGAUUUUCAUAUUCAAUUUGAUUGUUUGUAUUUGCGAAAAAAAAAAGAACGAAAAGAAAAAGCAACAUUGAUAUUUAGAAGAAGAAGGAAGAAAAAGAGAAUAGAACGAUCGUGGAUAAGUCUCUGUUUGAAUCGACCGUUAAAAUUGGUAAAAGGACAUAUAACGUGCUUUAUUGAUUACAAAUCAUUCUCUCGAUAUAUCAAGCAUCGACUAUUUGACAUACAAAUUAUAUUCUACAAUCACGCUUAAUCGCACAUUAAUUUAAUAUAUGGUAUGCAUGUUGUUAUAGUCCGUAUAUAUAUAUAAAAUGUGCAAACACUUAAACGCAACCUUUAAUGCCAACUUUUAAUGACUUUUUUCUCGUUUUAUAAGAGUUUAUCGAAAUUUAUUAUCAUGCGAGUAGAUUAAAUUUACUUAUGCAAAUGUCUUUUUCUUUGCCCAAAUUGUUAAUUUAUCUAUCAUUAUAAAUAUAAGCGUUAUAUUUAAUAAAUAAAUCAACUUGCAGAUACUUUUCUUUUUCAAUGCGUUACUUUUUAUAAUUCACCUAGCUGUAAAUGGCUCUUUGAGUGAUCUCAAUCGUAAUCGGUUGUUUGAUUUGUUCUGAUCGUUGGAUGCCAUCUUUUUGCGCAAUUCUCUUCUCAUUAUUUCAAACGUUAAGAACCAAAUUAAAUUAAAUUUUCUAACUCAAUCGAUGAAUAUACGAACCAUACGCCCAUUCCAUGAAUCCAAAUAAUCUCAAGAUAAGCCAAUGUGAGUGAACAAAAAUGUGCCCUUAUUAACAGAGAAGUUCUUUUCGAUUGAUACCAUGUAUCGCUACGUGACCCGUAUUAAAAUGCGUGUACGUCGGUUGGAAGAUAGAAAAUAAACUUGCACUGAUACGUAUGUAAUCGUAUAUGACAAAGUAUCAUGCUACUGCGAUUUCGUUUGUUAUUAAUCUCUACGGAGACGGGACCUUUUCAAAUUGAAGUGUUAUUUAUAAGGGCGCCGUUCGAGAGAAAAAAGAAUAAGUACUUUGAUCGCGCGUAACGAUCGGUGGCGUAAUUCGAGAAUACUCUUCGUUUUCUAUCUCUAAAGGAUAUCAUCAUUGACGACGCAUCGUUUUUACCCCUGUCUAAAUUCAAUCGAUAUUAAGUUUAUUAGUCAAACGCUUAUUCCAAUUAAUUGAUUAUUAAUAUUUCAAGAGGGAUAGAAAUUAUUUUCAAUAUUAUUAAAUACGGUCAGAUGGAUGACAACCGUGAGUAACAAGUUUUAUUUCGAUUUUAUUUCAAUAAUUAUUAAAUAUAUCUCUCGCGCUUUCUGCUUCUUGUAUGUUUCCGUUUAUUGUAUUUCUUGAGAAAUUAUAAUUAUAAUUAUAAUUAGGCGUGAUUAUAAUUAUCAAAAGUUAGAAGAUAAAGAGACAACGCGUAUGGGCGAAAGUAAGGAGAGGAAUAUACUCGACGUAUAAAUAUUGUAAUUCCGACCCUUACAUAUACUAAAUACUUUGUACUACUGCUUUUAAACGAAUAAAAAAGAAAAAAAAACAA